UUCGCAAUGCCCGAAAGGGUGACGAAGCGACGCCGCGUGUGGGAAGAAGGCCUUCGGGUUGUAAACCACUGUCGGGAGUUAAGAAAUGCAAGGAUAUUAAUAGUGUCUUUGCUUGACUAAGGCUCCGGAGGAAGCCACGGCUAACUCUGUGCCAGCAGCCGCGGUAAUACAGAGGCGGCAAGCGUUGUUCGGAAUUAUUGGGCGUAAAGAGCACGUAGGCGGCUAUGUAAGUCGGUUGUGAAAGCCUUCCGCUCAACGGAAGAACAGCAUCCGAUACUACAUGGCUUGAGUGCGGGAGGGGAGAGUGGAACUUCUGGUGGAGCGGUGAAAUGCGUAGAUAUCAGAAGGAACGCCGGCGGCGAAAGCGGCUCCCUGGCCCAUAACUGACGCUGAGUGUGCGAAAGCUAGGGGAGCAAACGGGAUUAGAUACCCCGGUAGUCCUAGCCGUAAACGAUGGGCACUAAGUAGAGGGGUUUU
RNAcentral lists this ribosomal RNA (477 nucleotides) under uncultured bacterium. RNAcentral describes it as "bacterial SSU rRNA". It matches the Rfam family "Bacterial small subunit ribosomal RNA", at positions 365 to 832 of the family's 1533-position model. The record is from RNAcentral.